CCAGGGCACCAGAGGCCAAAGACCAUCUCGCUGGAGCACAGCUGGUAAAACCUCACCGAACAAUCCAGCACCCCAGCUCGGCAAAGGACGGCCAGGAGCAGAUCAACCAGACCACUGUUGGACCUCCAUGAGACCUUCACCGACGCUGCCAGGAGCAGGUUGGGGAGUUCCCUCUCCACCAUCCCGGAAUUAUCCGACGAGGACGAAUUUCCACCACUGCCAGCCUCCAGUGUUGCCGGUGCCCGGACUGGCACAAUGGGAGAACCAGGAGCCCUGGUCGUAUUAACAGGAGGAUCACUAAACAUGAUGAGCGGCUUAAUAAAGGCUAAUGUAGCCAACCACACCGUAUCUGAGACCUCC
Molecule: long non-coding RNA, 360 nt
Organism: Platichthys flesus (European flounder)
Lineage: Eukaryota; Metazoa; Chordata; Actinopteri; Pleuronectiformes; Pleuronectidae
Exons: 3
Source: RefSeq, a predicted model, not a curated record